GAUGAACGCUAGCGAUAGGCCUAACACAUGCAAGUUGAGGGGCAGCAUAGAGUAGCAAUACUUUGAUGGCGACCGGCGCACGGGUGAGUAACACGUAUGCAACCUACCUACAUCAGGGGAAUAACCCGGAGAAAUUCGGACUAAUACCGCAUAAUACAGGGAUGCCGCAUGGCAAUAUUUGUUAAAGAUUUAUCGGAAGUAGAUGGGCAUGCGUUCCAUUAGCUAGUUGGUAAGGUAACGGCUUACCAAGGCAACGAUGGAUAGGGGAACUGAGAGGUUUGUCCCCCACACUGGAACUGAGACACGGACCAGACUCCUACGGGAGGCAGCAGUGAGGAAUAUUGGUCAAUGGACGAGAGUCUGAACCAGCCAAAUCGCGUGAAGGAAGACUGCCCUACGGGUUGUAAACUUCUUUUGUACAGGAAUAAAAGACAUUACGUGUAAUGUAUUGCAUGUACUGUACGAAUAAGCAUCGGCUAACUCCGUGCCAGCAGCCGCCGCCG
Molecule: ribosomal RNA, 503 nt
Filed under: uncultured bacterium
Lineage: Bacteria
Description: partial 16S ribosomal RNA
Rfam family: Bacterial small subunit ribosomal RNA
Source: RNAcentral